AGGCUCAGAAUUCCUUGUUUAUAGUCCAGUUCAUGUUAGUUUCAACAAUGUUUUUUUUUUUUCCCCCUGAUCAGACCUUGAAACCAACUGAUUAAUUCAACAUGAUAAGGCUCAUUUCACUCCUAGAUGAAUGAAGUCUAUGGGACCAGGAAGAAUACCUUUUUAAACAAAAGGAUAUUAUUGAAAUCUGAGAGUGUCAGAUUCCUCAGAUAAUCAGGAAAAAAAUCCCCAACCUUUCGACCUGCACUGAAGGGAUGACUGAGGAAACUGGCAGCAAGACACCUCUAAGUGCUCUAUGGAUUAAGAAUGGCCAGACAUUUUCCAAGGCCCUGUGAAGUGGUAACUGUGGUAACACUGAUGUCAAAGGGAUGCAGAGCAGUUACCCCUGUCAAGGCAAAAAAGCUCCUACUACGAGGACACCGUGCUUUAAUGAGUCUAACUGAAGGAAAAGGCGUAACAGUGGUGGAACUGGUGAUAGAAAUUGUGCCAGAGAAGGAUGAAGAGUAAAACAGGACUGUUGGUGUUGAAAAUACCUUGCAGUUUCAAUUUUUACACAGAAGAGAACAACUAUAUUUCUUUACAAUGCUGGGAAAUUUGCCAUGUUGUUCCAUACUCCAGCACCUUGGCUCCAGUCCUCCCUGGCAAUGACUGGUCCGGUAGAGCAACAAUCCCUCCUGCCAGCCAAGUCAGUAUUUCUGCAAAGUGUGUUGGUCGUUUCCUCUGUCCAUCUCCUGCCUCUGCUUCCUCACAUGCAGAGCUUCAGGAGAUCCAGAGUGGUUAUGGGAUUCCACAG
This 793-nucleotide long non-coding RNA is filed under the name Junco hyemalis (dark-eyed junco). RNAcentral describes it as "lncRNA (ENSJHYG00000016336.1)". Lineage: Eukaryota; Metazoa; Chordata; Aves; Passeriformes; Passerellidae. The record is from RNAcentral.